This is a long non-coding RNA of Alexandromys fortis (reed vole), 7662 nucleotides long. RefSeq lists it as uncharacterized. The record is from RefSeq and is a predicted model, not a curated record. NCBI's taxonomy places the organism in Eukaryota, Metazoa, Chordata, Mammalia, Rodentia, Cricetidae. The transcript has 4 exons.
UCUGCUGGAACAGCGACGCCAUGCUCAGCUCUCCCAGGCAGCUCCAAUCCACGAUGGACUUAGGCUAGAAUCUUCCCGUCACCAGCCAACUCGGAUUGAAGUGAUCUAACAGUGUGGGCCCCUGUUUGUCUUGGCUCAGUCACAGUUGCUAUGGAAACAAGUCGCUGACCUACUUCCUCCCACCUCCAGGAAACACCGUAUUAUAAGAUGCUGCUCCCAUGCCUGGCUUGCCCUUACUCCCAUCUUCAGUGGGGCUAAGCAGUCUUUCCCAGGGGUUUGGAAAGACCAAGCUGACCUGGAAUGGGGUGUGUGAGCUGCUUUCUUAGGGUGGCGUUUUCCGUGUUCUUAAAAUGACUUUUGCAAGACUAUCGGAUGAACGGAUGGCCUCUAGCAGAAUGUGAAAAUGGACAUUUGGGCUUAGCUGUUUAUGACCAAACAGGAUGCCUCCCGUCCUAGCUCCCUGCCUUUUCCAGCACUGUCCAGGGAUGCCCGUUCAAGUUUGGUGAAGACUAGCAGAGGCAGUAUCACGUGGCUGGACACCCUUGAGGGAGAACACGCUUAUCAGCGAUAUAACAAAGUGAGGCCCAGAUCAUAUCUGUGAAGUGUGUUCUUGGCAGUAUACUCUUGGAAUGUUCUUCAGCUCUGUUAGGACAAUAACAGCAGUAGUCAGUGCUUUGAUGGGGUCCCUGUGACCACAGUGGUGAACAUGAACACGACAUACUCCUGAAAGCCUCUCAGGGUGGACUCUAGCCAGAGGAGGAGGGGACACAUCUGAGCCUGGGACAUCCUACAGAGCACAGUACGAGACACCUGUCAGCCUGUACCGUGGUGGGGCGAAUCUCUAUGUGGACAAUCUGGAGACAGGAGCUGGGGAGGGCUGAGGAUUGGGAGUGAUAAUUACACAUUCUUGCACACAGCCAGGGAAAAGGGCUGCGUGGUUCCACAGCUGUCUCCGUUCUGGUAGCACGGGCCUGGCUGCCAGCUAUCCACUUAUAGAUGCUCAGAGCCCCCAGGAGGCUCGGGGAGGAGGGUGACUCCAGACAAGUUGUUUUUGAGACAGGCUCUCAGUAGGUAGCCCCAGCUGUUCUAGAACUUGCUAUGUAGACCAGGCUGGCUGCAAACUCACAGAGAUCUACCUGCCUCUGCCUCCUGAAUGCUGUGAUGAAAGGUCUGUGCCACCAUGCCUGGUUUGACUUCAAGACUUAUCAAGACUUACCUGAUGUUGUACCAAAAUUAACUUUGGAUCCAUUUAUCUGCCUGGAGAUGGCACCACAGGAAAUUAACACGGGGUUGGGGGUUAACAAGACUCUGCAAUGUAACAAAGUUCAAUUCUCUGCUGCCAGACGAAGAUGAUAAAUCUUGAGGAAGAGAUGGAGGAAGAAAAGAGGCUUAUUAACAAGCUAAAAAAUGGCUGUAGGUGCAAAGAAAAGUCAUUCUAAACUGGCGGUCGCUUUGCAAUCCAGAUACAUCAGACCCUCUCAGGAUAGACACUCCCAAUGGCCAGGCGGCACUCUGGAGCAGAACCAGACUGAGUUUUGUUAGUAUUCAGGCACAGCUUGGAUCCUGGUCUGUCAGCCUCCCAGAUUACGUGGGUCAUGCCUGGAAAGGCUGUGAGGUGAACAGGCCUGGGGAAGCUCUUCACUUACCCACAAUGCCCGCUGCUCUGCUCCAAGGCAAGAAGCCAAGGACCCAUGCCUGGGAUCUGAGAAUUUCCUUUGAGACAUCUCGCUGUCACACACCACCGAUAAAGAAAAGGGGGUGACCGUGCCCCAGGGGCAGGGCCAAGGUGUGCCUGGAUACUAACAAAAGCCUCUGGGAAAAAGCCGAGUGUUCUAGUUUGCCAUUCUGUUGCUGCGACCAGAAACAACUUGGGGAGGACAAGGUUUAUUUGGCUUACACUUCUAGAUUCCCACCCAUCCUUGAGGGACACCAAGGUAGGAACUCACACAGCAGCAGAGGCAGGAACCAUAGAGGAAUGCCGCUCACUGGCCUGCUUUCCUGGCUUGCUUAGCCAGCUUUCCUAUACAACCCAGGGCCACCUGUGUGGGCGUGCCAGCAUCCACAGUGGGCUGGGCCCUCCCCGCAUCGAUCAUUAAUCAGCCAGCACCUCACAGACUAGCCUUUGGGAAAUACCUGACGGAGGCAUUUUCUCAGCUGAGGGUCUUCUUCCCCGAUGACUGAAGCUUGUAUAGGUUACAAAAAUAACUAACCAGCAUGCAAAGCCCACAGCCAUGCCUGUCGGCCACCUUCCCGACAUAUGUGCACGUACUCCAGCAUUACCGCCACCGCUUUAACUCUCUGAACGUGUGCCCCAAGACUUUGAGCUGAGCCUGCCAUCUUGCCUUUCUUAAGCUGUGCUUUGGGACUGAGCCUGCUCAGGAACGUCCUCCUGAAUGAGCAUGCUCAGCAACGCGCCUGCUGCUGACGGUCUGUGCUAGAUGAAUAUUCAUCAGGUUCCCUUUGUUCAGGGAAGCAUUGCUUUGACAUAAUUCACCUGUUGCUGAUAUUACAUCCUUUUCUCUCUUGUUUCUUGGCUGUGCUUUUGUGCGGGUGUGCACACGCGUGCACACACAUGCUCCCUCUUCUUGGACUUUGCCUUCUGCAUCCCCCUUGGAUGGUUCUUCAUGCCUAUGCCUGCCCUGGUACCCGCUAGGCUGUGUUAUGAUGCUUGCAGAGCCUUCACCAUCAGAUUGUCUGGUAGUGACCCUGAGCAGCCUGGGGUCUACAGGCAGUUCCAGGGGACCGUCCAGUGACGGCCAGCCAAGAGCCAGCUAUAUGACACUAAUUUAGCGUGAGCAACACAGAUAAGUCACAGCAAUCAUUCACCUCCCUGCAUCUCUACACACACCUUAUUAGCCUUUUCUGGGGGGCUUCUGAAACUCCUGACCUUGGAGCAGUUACCUCCCUUCAACUGUGAAGAGCGGAAAUGACGUCUGUUGCAAGGGCCGUGCAGCUUCUGGGAAAGAUGACUCACACCUGUUUAAGAGUCUGCCCAAAUCCCUGCGUCCUUCCGGCCUGACAGCCCACCCUGGGAUGACACGGCAGGAGGAAGGAGGUGAGGGGUAGGGGAGAGCUGGCAUACACAGCUUCAGUUUGGGGCCUCAGGGCCUGACAGGAUUGCUCAGUUUUAAGGGACUUGACCUAGAACGAGUUUGUGACGGCCUAUAUUCUGAAAUGCCUGUGUAUUCUGGGCAUUUGGGACAGCGAAGCCGUAGCUGCCACACCCGCAGCAGAGGCUAAUGGGCGACUUUGACCCAGUCCGGAACUGUUGAAAUGUGCUUGCCCUGUAACACGGGAUUACGCUGACAAUGGGCUACUGACGUCAGUCCCAGGCAAGUGGCAUUUGCCUGCCAAAAGGCUCAGAGGCUGUGUUAGAGUUUGCCCUGUUGUAGGUAGAGGGAGAGCUGGGUCAAACUGACCUGCUGUGGGUCUGGAUACAUCACAGAAAGGAAGAAACAAAACGUGCUGCUAAGGGGUUGUCGUUCACAGGGCGCUGGGCCGUUCCCGCGGCUCCAGGGAAGGGGCCUGCUCUUUUUGGACAGAAGUUCCCCAAGCUUUCAAUCUCCUCUCCCCAAGGUGCACAGAGUGGCUGCCUGCAAGUCCAUUGUGCUUUCCUGAGACAGGCUCAAGGGUGACCCUACUAGGGACAGGGUACAUCCUGAGGACAUCAUCUGUCGACGGGGGUCAUAGUGGGUCUGGAUGAGAGUGUUCCUAACAGGCAGGGAUGGAGCACGGUCUGACCUGAGAACAAGACACUAUUUUAAAGCUCUUAAAUAUGCCUAGGGAUGGUCUCAUUGCUUUUAGGUGUUGGGGCAUUUUCUGACCUCCAUGCACCAUGUUUAACGCUUGACAUCUCUCCAAAGCUAAGCAAAGGCUACCAACCUGAAGGACCAGGCUUUAAAACAGAACUCUAAGAGAGAAAAGGUUACAGUUAGAUGGCUCCGCAGGCUAAAGCCAGUCUCCAAGCCUGACCACCUGAUUGGUCCCAAGAUCACAUGGUGGAAGGAGAGAAAUAAUUCCCACAAGCUGUCGUCUGACCUACACACAUACACACAUGCGUGCACACACGCACACACACACGUACAUACACUCACACAAACACAAGAUAAAUAAUUAAAUAAAUAUAGUUCAGAAAUGAAAAGAGAAGAGCUGCGUGCCUAAGCUGUGAGAGUUGGAGGGGCUAUGGGUGGGUCAGAUGCACUGGGCCUGUUACCCUACCAGAUACACAGGGACCAUGACAUAAGCUGGAGUGUCCGUCAUCCCACUGGACCUGCCUGGCCACCCUGUUGUUGCCAGGUUCCCUAGGGCACACAAGGACUUCACAGAGAGUGCGGGUGCCGCUGUGUCUCCCGGAAGGUAAUGUGGUAGUGGGGAGGCUCUGCCGAGGCUUAGGUCUGUUCCGCUGCUUUGUUCUCUCAGCCCAAAAAUAUGGGAGCAUUGGCAAAACCAGAGGUUGGCAGCUCUAUUUAAAUAGGCAAAACUGUCAGGUGUUGGACUGCAAAACUACAUUGGGUCGUGUGGCUCUUCCACCCUUGAGCCUGAAAGGUGGUGGGUGGACACCAUUUGGAAUCUCCUAGGGAUGCCCAGGGUCACUCUUCCCUGGGAAUGCUGCCCCUGGGAAGCAGUGUUUACUCAGGUAGAUCACAGAGGAGGCUCUAGGGAAUCUAAUAAUUCCAUUUGAAUCUACAAAUAUGGAAAGUCUUCAUUUAUUCCAAGUGAAUAAGAAAAUACUGGCAGAAAACCACGAAUUCCUAUAGACAUCGAAGUUCAAGUGUUCAUUUCCCUAACUUGCUCAUGUCUCUUUGUCAGGGCCGGGGAUCGAACCCAGGUUUUUUUUUUUUUUUUUUUUUUUUUUCCCGAGACAGGGUUUCUCUGUAGUUUUUGGUGCCUGUUCUGGAACUAGCUCUUGUAGACCAGGCUGCUGGCCUCAAACUCACAGAGAUCUGCCUGCCUCUGCCUCCCAAGAGCUGGGAUUAAAGGCAUGCACCACCACCGCCUGGCUCGAACCCAGGUCUUUACACGCGCUAGGCUAAUGCUCUAUCACUGCAGUAACUCCUCAGCUGUUUUUGUUUUGUUUGAGCGGUAGUCUCACUCUGUGGCCCAAGCUGGCCCAGACACCCAGACCUCUUUUUGCUUCAUCCUUUCAAGGAGGUAGGGUUACAGGCUUGUGCUAUCAGCCGAGCUACAUAAAUUAUUAUUUUAAAAAUCUUUUAUUAUCUUAUGUGUAGGUAAUUGUGAUGGUUUGAAAGAAAAUGUUCCCCCAAAGGGGGUGGCACUAUUAGGAGUUGUGGCCUUGUUGGAGUAGGUGUGGUCGUGUUGGAGGAAGUGUGUCACUGAUGGGGUGGGCUUUGAGGUUUCAUAUAUGCUCAAGGUACUUCCUGUUGCCUAUGGGUCAAGGUGUAGGGCUCAAAGUUCCAGCACCAUAUCUAUAGCAUGCUGCCGUGACCCAUGAUGGCAGUGGACUGAACCUCUGAACUGUCUUCAUUUGUCAGAGUUGCUGUGGUCAUGGUGUCUCUUCACAGCAACAGAAACGUUAACUGAAACAGUAAUUUCCCUGCAUGUAUGUAUAUCUGUGUGUCACUUGCAUGUCUGGUGUCUACGGAGAUCAGAAAAUAUCGUCAGAUGCCCUGAAACUGGAGUCACCAACAGCUGUGGUCCGAUGUGAGUGCUGGGAAUCGAACCUGGGUCUCCUGGAAGAAGAGCCAGUGCUCUUAAUCAUUAAGCUAUUUCUCCAGUUCCUUUUGUAAAUUGUUUUAAAUGGUGUGUCAGAAGGAACAGCAGAUCUUGGCAAUCACAACACAUUCUUCCUCUUGAUUGGCUAGGCACUAAGAAUAGACACUAGUUACCAACGGCCAAGCACACUGGUUUCUCAGCUCCUUCCCAGGCCUCCGUGGGAUCCCACAGCCCAGUGGCAGGAAGUCACAGGCAGCAGACUAUGAAGGGCCCACACAUUCAGAGUGCACUCUCCCUGAGCUUUGUUCAGCCAUUAGGGAAGGAUAGAUGUUCUCUGAAGUGCGUCCAACCUGGGAAUGUCAUGCUCAACCUUGUGCUUGGGGUUGAAUGCAGCCGCCCCCCCCCCCCCCAGAGUUCCUGUGCGGAACAAAGUCCAGUACCUCCUAUGUCAAGAUGACUAUUGGGGGCAUGAGGUUGGGGCUCCUACACAGACACCAUUGGCUGCUGUAGAGGGGUAUUCACUGUGCUGGACCCAUGCAGAAUUUACUCAGAGCCUCUACAUUUCCUCUUAGGUGUUCAAUUUCUCUUACUUCUUUCUAGUUAGUUUGGUUUUUAAGAACAAAAGGCUUUCACCCUUUAUUUUAUAGUGUGUUUGUGUGUGUGCGCACACACACGGUAGUACAUGUGUGGAGUUCAAAGAACAAUUCACAGAAGUUGUUUUUUCUCUUCCCCCCAUGUUAACAAGUAGCCUCUGUGUGUUUCUUUGGGACUGAACGGCUGCGGGACGGGUGGGACAGAAACCUCUGUCAACAAAUGGUGUCAAUGUGGGCAACUAUAUCUACAUAAAACGUGAGAGAGCUUGAGAAGUAAUUCCAGACAUAAAAGAACAGAGUUAACCACCACUUCCUGACAGCAGUAUUUUCUCAGGUGGGCUUUGUUUGCUAAAGGCAAGUGUGUCUCAUUUAAGAGAGGCUUCCUGACUCAGCUUUAGCUGCAAAAACCUGGCAGCUCUUUUAAGAGGCCCCACCACCAAACACUUCAAUGGUGCUUAUGAAUAGCUGACAGCAUGCUUCUUGGUAGUAGCAGGUACCCUGAAACUCCAUAGAGCUGUGGCAAUAAACAUGGCUCCCGCUGGUACCUCUGCCAUGAAGCUAGACUCUCAGAAAGCUAAGGAAUGGCUGGAUGUAGCCGUAAGUCAUGACUUUAAUCCUAGCCAUACCGUUUAACAAAUUAAAGACUCAGGUGGUCAUAAAAAGAGAGAUAUACAGUAAAGAUAGAUUCAGAUGAAAAAACACUCUAAAUGGUUUACAGUGUGUUUAAAAAUAUAUGUAGGCAUGGGAGAAAAAAGAAAAAAGGAUAAAGUCCUUAAAAAAAAGAUAGAGAAUAGUUGGGUGUGGUGCACACCUUUAAUUCCAGCACUUGGGAAGCAGAGGCAGGGGGAUCUCUGUGAGUUCAAGAACAGCCUGGUCUAUGGAGCGAGUUCCAGGACAGCCAAAGGUACACAGAAAAACCAAAAAAUUAAAAAUAAAAAUAAAAGAAAUAGAGUUUUAAAAAAGCCAUGUAAAGAUGGAAAAUACACAGAGAAUCUGGAUACUGUAUGCUAUUGUGUUGUCUUUGACUUGUUUGAUGGCUGAAGAAAGAGCAACAUCUGGUAGAUGACAUUUGAUUAUAAAUGCUGCUGUAUUAAUUUAACAUAUAUAUUUUGAAAAUACCUUGACUUCAACAUUUAAGUCAAAAGAUAUGUUACUUUUGAGAAGAGGUUUUGCUUUUGUUUCCACAGGAAAUAUGAUGCUGUGGAUUCAUUCUGGGUUAAGAAAAGUAAGUUUUGUUCAAGGAAGACCCCCUGAAAAUCUCCAAUGGGAACAGAUGGCCCAGAUGAUCCAACAUUUCAGAGCACCUCUGUUGCAGUUUCUUCUGAGUUCUACCUCCAGAACAGCCUCAAGACUGUUGACUGAGAUGACCAAGCCUCACAGAAUAUUCCAGUCAGGA